UUCAGGUUUGAGCACUCUACAGA
RNAcentral lists this non-coding RNA (23 nucleotides) under Arabidopsis thaliana (thale cress). The record is from RNAcentral. Lineage: Eukaryota; Viridiplantae; Streptophyta; Magnoliopsida; Brassicales; Brassicaceae.